Molecule: non-coding RNA, 30 nt
Filed under: Rattus norvegicus (Norway rat)
Lineage: Eukaryota; Metazoa; Chordata; Mammalia; Rodentia; Muridae
Source: RNAcentral
UAGAAGAGGCUAAUGCUGUUACGAUGGUAU